RNAcentral lists this ribosomal RNA (419 nucleotides) under uncultured Gram-positive bacterium. RNAcentral's name for it is "bacterial SSU rRNA". It matches the Rfam family "Bacterial small subunit ribosomal RNA", at positions 1 to 410 of the family's 1533-position model. The record is from RNAcentral.
UGAGUUUGAUUCUGGCUCAGGAUGAACGCUGGCGGCGUGCCUAACACAUGCAAGUCGAGCGAGAAGCUUACGAAGGAUCCUUCGGGUGACUGAAUAAGUGGAAAGCGGCGGACGGGUGAGUAACGCGUGGGUAACCUGCCCCAUACAAAGGGAUAGCCACUGGAAACGGUGAUUAAUACCAUAUAACACCAUAGUGUCGCAUGACACAUUGGUCAAAGAUUUAUCGGUAUGGGAUGGACCCGCGUCUGAUUAGCUAGUUGGUAAGGUAAUGGCUUACCAAGGCGACGAUCAGUAGCCGACCUGAGANNGUGAUCGGCCACACUGGAACUGAGACACGGUCCAGNCUCCUACGGGAGGCAGCAGUGGGGAAUAUUGCACAAUGGGCGCAAGCCUGAUGCAGCAACGCCGCGUGAGCGAUG